UAGUAGACUAAAUGUUUCGUCCGUGCAGAAUGGCACUUUUUACCUCACGAAAUUCACCACCAUGCAUAGCUGCGCUACGUAAACAAAGUUGUUGAUGUAGCGUGAUCGUGAUGUCCGAGUGCUGCGAGUUUCAAUACUGUUUAUGUAAUCAUUGAGAGUUUAAACAAAGUUUCUUCUGAGAAGAGGAAUUCGAUGGAUGCAUUCAACGUGGACAACGAAAUCAUAAUUUCGUUUGCAUCAUCCUAAGGACCAGAGCAAGUUGAAAUGGGCUUCCAGCCAACAACUUCAACAGCAAUUUGCCAUGAAAAUCAGCAAGAAAGGUACUUCAUUUACAUUGAUGAUGGCAUAUCCCCUGGACCCCACAACUUUACAGGUUACAUAGAAAAUUCAAGAACUUCUGCAAAAUGUGGGACUUGGAUAGAAUCAAUAAUGUAUUUGUGAGCCCAGAGCAAUGGCUAUAUUGUGCAACAUACUAAAGUGUGAAUUUAAUGGAAAACAAGCACAUGUACUCAUGUAUUACAUGUCUUUUUUAAAGACAAUAAUAUUGUAUAAAUAUAGAGGAAGUGUCAUUGUUGAUUAUUCUAAGUUUUUGAUAUAUCAAAAUCAGUAAACAUUUCUAAAUGAAAAUAAAAUACCAAUUUUAUAACUUUAAUCAAUGCGUUUGAAUUUCUCAUUUUCUACCCCACCCCCCUUACACACACACAGUGCAUAUAUACUGUGAAUGCAAUAUGCAUGCAUUCUAAGUUAUCCAAGCGAGUUUUUGUUUCAGUGUGAGACUACAAGUAGGAUUCAUAAACUUAUGAAGAGACAUAUAUAUUUGUGAGA
Long non-coding RNA from Ostrea edulis (European flat oyster), 825 nucleotides. RefSeq lists it as uncharacterized. The record is from RefSeq and is a predicted model, not a curated record. The transcript has 3 exons. Lineage: Eukaryota; Metazoa; Mollusca; Bivalvia; Ostreida; Ostreidae.